AUGAUGUCCGGUUCCGACCUCCAGGGCCGAUGGAUGCCCUCCUCCAUCAUGGAGGAGGACGUGCUAAAGCUGCGGGAGGCCAAGUACCUGGCUUAUGAGAUUUCGCACAGGUUGCCUGCCGAAGGGCAGGCCAUCCCCACCCCCGAGCCCGGCGAGUAUGUCGUUUUUGUAUCCCACCUCCGUCAGGGUUUAGGCUUCCCGAUGGAUCCUUUUGUGAGAGGGCUCAUGUUUUACUAUGGGUUGGAAUUCCACGAUUUGGCUCCGGAGUCCAUCCUCCAUAUUUCCGCAUUUAUUGUUGUCUGCGAAGCCUUCCUCCGCGUCGCCCCUCACUUCGGCCUGUGGCUGAAGACCUUCAAUGUGGCGCCGAAGAUGAUCGGGGGGCGUCAAGCGGAGUGUGGCGGGGCGGCCAUAAGUAGGAGGGCUGAUGCCCCGUGGCCCGCUGGCUCCUUCCAAGAGGAGCUCGGCCCGUGGCAGCAAGAGUGGUUCUAUAUCACCGUUUCGAGGGGCCGCAGACAAAAGCCGCCGCCCUUAUUCCGCCCGGGACCUCCACGACGGUUGAUGUCGUGGGUCAACCAAGGGCUCAACUGGGGGCCGUCAAAGGACGUGUCCCUACUGCAGGGCCGGAUUCGAGAUCUCCAAACGAGGGAGGUUGAUAUGGUGGUGGUAAUGCAGGUUAUGCUUAUUAGGCGUCUUCCGCCCUGCAAACGCUGCCCUCUCCGGCUGUGGGAGUUCAAUCCGGAGGGCUCACGGAUUCUUCAGCACUUCAUGGGUAUAACACCCCUGGAGAUGUACAAAUUAUUCUUCGGAUCGCAAGAGGCGCAUCCGGAAUUGAUCGAGGAUGCUGGCCUAAGCUGCAAUCGCCCGGAUACUCAAGUAAGUAGUUCCAAGUCCGGACAUACCGUUUGUUUGCCUUUCAGUAAUUCGCCUUAUGACCAACUUCCUUCUAAACAGGAGUGGAUAGCGGAAGCAAAAUUGAUAUGGUGUCCGGCCCCCCUCCCCGAGACCGCGCCGGAUUCCGUGCUGGUUCGGAUGCUUGAGGUUGCGCCUCCAGAGGAAGGCGAAGGGGAAAGCAGGAAAGCUACUGCCUCGCCUAAGGAGGCUCUUGAAAGAGGGGGGAUCGAGAAUCCCUCCCUCCAAGGGGAGAAGAGGACUGCCUCCGAGGACCCGGGGGCAAAAGCCCCUAAACGGGGGAAGAAAUCUUCGCCAGAGGGUCCUGCAUCCAGGGAGGCCCCGGCCGCACAAUAUCUCUUAAAGACUCAGCCCUCCAACGAGCCAUCGGAUCUCCGUCCUUCGCAAAUGAGCUCGUCUUCGGGGGACCUUCGUCCGGAGAUGAUGGAGAGCGAGACGCCUCCGUCCGGGGCGCCGUCGGAUAGGGCGGACGAGCCUGAAGUGUCGUCACGGAGGGAGCCCCCGGGUUCGGCAAAGCCGGAUAGUUCGGCGCCAACGGGUGUACGGCUGAAGGAUCUGCUUGAGAAGGCGUCUAUCUCAGAAGAUCACCACGCAUUGAUGAGCAUGGUGAUUGAAAGGGUUUCGUCCGCCGAAGGCGGGUUGCAUAAUGCCGUCAAGAGUUUGCUGGCGGGGUUUGAGGUGCGUAAAAAUGAUACACCUUUUAACAGUUUAGCAUAUAGAAUGCGCCCUGUAUAG
This 1644-nucleotide ribosomal RNA is filed under the name Triticum aestivum (bread wheat). Its description in RNAcentral is "partial small subunit ribosomal RNA". Lineage: Eukaryota; Viridiplantae; Streptophyta; Magnoliopsida; Poales; Poaceae. The record is from RNAcentral.